GAAGAAUUCCACUUACACAAGAAACAUAUUUCCACACUCUCUUCAUAGAGGAGUCAGCAUGAGGAUGGAUCCUAACCCCAGGGCUGAUCCCAGUACGCGCUGUUUCCUUUGGCUGUGAUUUUUAUUCUCUCCCGACUGGCAGUGAGGUCAGGGGUCAUAAUGACCCUCUGUUCAUAUCUCAGAAAGUGUUGACAGCUGACACCUCUGCUGGGAAAGGAAAAUGAACUGGCAAAAGGACCGUUAUCAUUUUGACAGAUGCCCAUUAUUGGGGGCUAUGCCAACUGGCAAAUUCCUAAUAAUAGGAAACAAAUAGGUAUUUUGACUUCUUGACCCUGCUCUGUGACUGGCUUAUAGGAAGGAACCCUUCAGAGUAAAUGCACUUGAAUUUAAACAUCAG
Molecule: long non-coding RNA, 397 nt
Filed under: Marmota monax (woodchuck)
Lineage: Eukaryota; Metazoa; Chordata; Mammalia; Rodentia; Sciuridae
Source: RNAcentral